This is a non-coding RNA of Solanum lycopersicum (tomato), 2302 nucleotides long. Lineage: Eukaryota; Viridiplantae; Streptophyta; Magnoliopsida; Solanales; Solanaceae. The record is from RefSeq and is a predicted model, not a curated record.
AUGUGUAUAUUCAUCUGGGAAACACGUGUCCAAGCUACGUGAUGUAUUCCUAUUCCUUUUCAUCCAUUCUCUAUUCCAAGAAAAAUUGCUCUGCAAGAUGGAAGGGUUUUGCAAGCCCUCAUAUGAAAUUUUUCAGUUAAAUUGCAUACCUAGCUUCUCCCCUCCCUUCUCAUUUUUGUUUUGCCUUUUGAUUUUAGAUCUGUUUUGUCAAUUUUUUUCAUUCGACGAGUUUCAAAUUUUCUUUAUAUAUCAGUUUUGUUGUUUAUGAUGUGGUAACUUUGCAUGCAUUAAAUCUAAAUUUGAUUAGAUGUUGUUGUUAUGGUCGUUUACUCCUCUUCUUCUCCGAUUUCCUUAAUUGUAGCUUUCUUUUUCAACUUUUUCUCCUUUUGUUCUUGAUGUGGGUGUUUUUUCAAUUUGUUAUUUUUUCACAAAUAGGACUUUACAGGUACUUGGAGAAGAAACGAAAGGAAAGAAGCAGGGAACAUUGAGCAUUAUCAAGUACAACGAACUUAAAUCUUGAUUUUUUUUCUCGAAAAGACUUUCAACUGGAAGGAUUAGCUAUUAGAGUUACCCUAAUUUUACAACCCUUUCUCCUAUGUGGAAAGUCCAGUAUUUCUCCCACUUUAGUUGAUUUAACUUUCCAGUUGGAUAUGCAGUUAAAUUAUAAUGUUGAAUACUAACAUAUGUAUAUGUCAUAAGCAUAAACUUUAAUUUGCUUAUAUGACAAGGAAGACUUUCUUUGCACAUGAAGAAUUCUUUGUAAGAUAAGUUAUUUAUUUUUCAUAGGGUGCAAACAAUCUCAUAGGGUGCAAACAAUCUCAAUUUUUAACACAUCUUAUUCAUUUAUCUAAAAGCUAUGGAGAAUUACAGAUUUCAAUCAAUAGUAUAUCGCCUUCAGGGAAUUACAAAAUCGUCUCAGAGAUUUGUUCCUAUACCAUUUGCAUCUGAUGGUUUAACUGAAGAAUUUUAUGAUCUGGAUGCUUAUAACCCUGCUGAAAGUAAGUUCAUUAUGAAACUUCAAGUUCAUCCAGAACGAAUGAGCCAAGAAGAUAGUCACGAACUUGAUUUGUUACAAUUAUAAAUUUCUAGUUCUACUAAAUUUUGAAAAACGUAAUGAAGAUAUACGUGUUUAGUUUAAAAUAAGCUAUAAGAUAGUCAUAUUAUAACUUAUUUAAUUAUUAAUUCAUUGAUGUAAACUGGUAUAACUUUUACUAGGAAUAGAGAGAAGACAUACAAAGAUACAUAAUAAUUAGGUGUCUUUUCCACGAUCACAUUCAUAUUUAUCGGCUCCGUUGACUCCUCAAAGUCAAAGUGAAAUUCUUGAAGAAAGCUUUCAAGGUCACAAGGAAUGAUGGUGAGAAUCUCUAACCUGAGCCAAUGUAAGAUUCUGGUGAGUGAAUUCAUGUCGAGGGGAAGUUUGGAAAAUCAUCUAUUCAGAAAUCAGAAGUAAGUACAGUUUGUGUGGAAUCAUAACUGCAUAUUUGAUGCAAGAACGGAUCCACAAUAUGAUAUGCAGAUCCAUAGGAACCCAAUUGCUUUCUCUAAGCCGUGUAUAAGAAAUUCAUUUUUCUAUGAACUUAGUUCAUUAUAGAAAUUCAUAAAGUUGAGAUCUUGAAUCCACAUCUAAUUUGAGGACAUCCACUAAUAUCAUUCCUGUAAUGUCAUUGAAUUAACCUUGGUACAUCUUGAACAGAGGACUGCUUAUUUCCAACCACUAUCAUAGAAUCUCCGAAUAAAGGUUACUCUCGAGACUGCUAAAGUACUGACAUAUCUCCACAACUCAGAAGCUAAAAUUAUAUAUCAGGAUUUCAAAUCAUCUAACAUUUUUCUUGUUACUAAUUACAAUGCAAAGUUGAGCCAAUACACAGUAAAAUGGGUACCUUCUGUUGUGCUGCUCCUGAGUAUAUGACUACUGGUAAUAUACAAUUACAAUUUACUGCUAAUUGUUCUUGUGCUUUACCUGAGCUGAGCGUCAAUCAGAAGCCAAGUACAAAGUAGUUAAAAGAUAGAGAUGGUGUCAUUAGGCAUAGCUUGGCUGGUCCAUUUCCAUCAGUUUCUCUGUUCAAUGAGUAUCAAAAUGUAGCGAUGGUUGUAAAUUCAUCAAUACCCACUGUACUAUGUCAUAUUUCCAGCAUUAGAUAGUAUGUUUAUCAAUAGUUUAGCCAAUUUUUAGAAUGUAUCCAAAUUACUUAAAAGUUGCACAGCUAGACUGAUUUAGCAUGAUAAAUGAUGUUCGAUCUGAAAUUUAAUAUGAAUUUUGUAUGUUACCCGUUGUUAUGUGAGCUUAACUUUUUGAUUCACA